UGCCAGCCGCCGCGGUAAUACGGAGGGGACUAGCGUUGUUCGGAAUUACUGGGCGUAAAGCGCACGUAGGCGGAUUGAUCAGUCAGGGGUGAAAUCCCGGGGCUCAACCCCGGAACUGCCUUUGAUACUGUCAAUCUAGAGAUCGAGAGAGGUGAGUGGAAUUCCGAGUGUAGAGGUGAAAUGCGUUGAUAUCAUCAGGAACACCGGUGGCGAAGGCGGCUCACUGGCUCGAUAUUGACGCUGAGGCACGAAAGCUAGGGUAGCGAACAGGAUUAGAUA
Molecule: ribosomal RNA, 279 nt
Filed under: uncultured bacterium
Lineage: Bacteria
Description: partial 16S ribosomal RNA
Rfam family: Bacterial small subunit ribosomal RNA
Source: RNAcentral